UCCUGGCUUAGGAUGAACGCUAGCUACAGGCUUAACACAUGCAAGUCGAGGGGCAGCAUAACGAAAGCUUGCUUUGUUGAUGGCGACCGGCGCACGGGUGAGUAACGCGUAUCCAACCUUCCCUAUACUAGAGAAUAGCCCGGCGAAAGUCGGAUUAAUGCUCUAUGUUCUUCUUUGAUGGCAUCUGACGAGAAGCAAAGGUUUACCGGUAUAGGAUGGGGAUGCGUCUGAUUAGGUUGUUGGCGGGGUAACGGCCCACCAAGCCUACGAUCAGUAGGGGUUCUGAGAGGAAGGUCCCCCACAUUGGUACUGAGACACGGACCAAACUCCUACGGGAGGCAGCAGUGAGGAAUAUUGGUCAAUGGGCGAGAGCCUGAACCAGCCAAGUAGCGUGCAAGGAUGACUGCCCUAUGGGUUGUAAACUGCUUUUAUGCGGGAAUAAAGUCAGGUACGUGUACCUGUUUGUAUGUACCGCAUGAAUAAGGACCGGCUAAUUCCGUGCCAGCCGCUGC
RNAcentral lists this ribosomal RNA (512 nucleotides) under uncultured bacterium. Its description in RNAcentral is "bacterial SSU rRNA". It matches the Rfam family "Bacterial small subunit ribosomal RNA", at positions 17 to 518 of the family's 1533-position model. The record is from RNAcentral.